RNAcentral lists this unclassified non-coding RNA (339 nucleotides) under soil metagenome. RNAcentral's name for it is "partial contains 5.8S ribosomal RNA, internal transcribed spacer 2, and large subunit ribosomal RNA". The stretch from base 1 to 120 matches the Rfam family "5.8S ribosomal RNA", at positions 35 to 154 of the family's 154-position model. The record is from RNAcentral.
GAUGAAGAACGCAGUGAAAUGCGAUAACUAAUGUGAAUUGCAGAAUUCAGUGAAUCAUCGAGUCUUUGAACGCACAUUGCGCCCCCUGGUAUUCCGGGGGGCAUGCCUGUCCGAGCGUCAUUGCUGCCCUCAAGCACGGCUUGUGUGUUGGGCUCCGCCCCCCCGGGGACGGGCCCGAAAGGCAGCGGCGGCACCGAGUCCGGUCCUCGAGCGUAUGGGGCUUUGUCACCCGCUCUGUAGGCCCGGCCGGCGCCAGCCGACAACCCAUCAUCCUUUUCAGGUUGACCUCGGAUCAGGUAGGGAUACCCGCUGAACUUAAGCAUAUCAAUAAGCGGAGGA